GCUGGGCUUGGUAGCGUGAGCCUGUAACCCAAGUGGGAGCAUUAAGAUGGUGGAAUAAAUGGGCUUACCUUGAAGGUUGGGCUUGGGGUGCUAUCUACCGGCUUGCCCGUUCCAAGUGGUGAGUCUGGCUGUGGAGUCUUUGCGAAGGCAGAGGCUUCUCAGCUCUCAGCUCUUAGAUUGGAGGGCACCGCGUGAGGCUGGUUUCACAGAGCAGCGAACACCUCCACCUCUCUGCAGUGGAAGGAUAACAGGUCGGAGAGUGCCUGAUUGGUUGUCCAAAUUAAACCACCAUCUUU
RNAcentral lists this signal recognition particle RNA (296 nucleotides) under Ipomoea nil (Japanese morning glory). RNAcentral describes it as "Plant signal recognition particle RNA". It matches the Rfam family "Plant signal recognition particle RNA". The record is from Rfam by way of RNAcentral. Lineage: Eukaryota; Viridiplantae; Streptophyta; Magnoliopsida; Solanales; Convolvulaceae.